This 292-nucleotide ribosomal RNA is filed under the name uncultured bacterium. Its description in RNAcentral is "partial 16S ribosomal RNA". It matches the Rfam family "Bacterial small subunit ribosomal RNA", at positions 505 to 796 of the family's 1533-position model. The record is from RNAcentral.
GUGCCAGCAGCCGCGGUAAUACGGAGGGUGCGAGCGUUGUUCGGAAUUAUUGGGCGUAAAGCGCGUGUAGGCGGUUUGUUUAGUCUGAUGUGAAAGCCCCGGGCUCAACCUGGGAAGUGCAUUGGAUACUGGCAGACUUGAGUACGGGAGAGGGUAGUGGAAUUCCUAGUGUAGGAGUGAAAUCCGUAGAUAUUAGGAGGAACACCGGUGGCGAAGGCGGCUGCCUGGACCGAUACUGACGCUGAGACGCGAAAGCGUGGGGAGCAAACAGGAUUAGAUACCCUUGUAGUCC